GCCAAUACUAAAGCCCAACAGUAACCCUAUUCUGAAUACACCUCCUAAGUUUCCUAUACAUACUCCUCCUAAACUAGACUCCACCAGAUCAUGCCAUGUGGCAAUCUAAAACCCUAAAAUGCUAUCCAAUCAGGUGCUGCCACAUCACCACACUUGACACGUCAUCAUCAUCUUCCACAAGAAAUCUAAUUCCCAAUCAAACCCUAGCCGUCUGCCAC
Molecule: long non-coding RNA, 218 nt
Filed under: Vigna radiata
Lineage: Eukaryota; Viridiplantae; Streptophyta; Magnoliopsida; Fabales; Fabaceae
Description: long non-coding RNA (VRAD_LNC006118)
Source: RNAcentral